Molecule: ribosomal RNA, 408 nt
Filed under: uncultured bacterium
Lineage: Bacteria
Description: partial 16S ribosomal RNA
Rfam family: Bacterial small subunit ribosomal RNA
Source: RNAcentral
GACGAACGCUGGCGGCGUGCUUAACACAUGCACGUCGAAAGGAGUGGCGAACGGGUAAGUAACACGUGGGUGACCUGCCCUGCACUUAGGGAUAAGCAUGGGAAACUGGUUCUAAUAAAGGAUAGUGUGGGAUGGGAACGCGGACUAUCAGCUUGUUGGUGGGGUAAUGGCAUACCAAGGCGGCGACGGGUAGCCGGCCUGAGAGGGUGGACGGCCACAUUGGGACUGAGACACGGCCCAGACUCCUACGGGAGGCAGCAGUGGGGAAUAUUGCACAAUGGGCGGAAGCCUGAUGCAGCGACGCCGCGUGGGGGAUGACGGCCUUCGGGUUGUAAACUCCUUUCACCAUCGACGCGGUGGAUGGAGAAGAAGCACCGGCGAACUACGUGCCAGCAGCCGCGGUAAUAC